RNAcentral lists this long non-coding RNA (481 nucleotides) under Marmota monax (woodchuck). Lineage: Eukaryota; Metazoa; Chordata; Mammalia; Rodentia; Sciuridae. The record is from RNAcentral.
UAUUAAGACUCAGAAAGCAGGGAGGAGAAGGGACAGAUUUGGAGCAGCUCUCCCCAUCUGUCGUGCCUUUCUCAGUUCCUUUCAUCCUCCAGGAAACUUUCCCUGCUUCCCUGGGCUGCCGGGAGCCUCUCCUCUGUGCUCCCAUAGACCUGGGCCUGUCCCAGCAAAUCUCCUAUAUCCCUGUUCUGCAGCUGUCUCUUUUCUAGGUGCCUUGGGAGGCAGAGAGUUAGCGCCUAUUAUUUCUGACUCAACAGUAGGUGCUGUAGUAGUAAUUCUUAAAAAAAAAUAUUUUAAAAAGUUUUACAAUUAAUUCAUAUUUUAAAUGGAUAUAUAGUAGUUGCACAUGUUUGUGGGUACAGUGUGGCGUUUCAGUCACGUAUACAAUGGGUAAUGAUCAAAUCAGGGUCACGGGCAUAUCUAUGGUCUCAGGCAUAUAUCAUUUCUUUGUGUUGGGAGCAAUUAAAAUCCUCUCUAUUAGCUA